Brassica napus (rape) is the source of this 1662-nucleotide RNA transcript. It is a transcript of the gene named jasmonate-induced oxygenase 2-like, with no coding region annotated. The transcript is spliced from 5 exons. The record is from RefSeq and is a predicted model, not a curated record. Lineage: Eukaryota; Viridiplantae; Streptophyta; Magnoliopsida; Brassicales; Brassicaceae.
AUGGAGAACACUAAGAAUGUUAGAGACUGUAACAAAGAUCCCUCAGCUCUUUGGAAGUGGAAGUGGACUGGGUCCGAGUCCGACGCAAGUGUAGCGGGUGGAGCGGAGACAGUUCGCUCAUACCUCUUUUCUGUCUGUUGCUGCUCCGUUAAUGUCUGGUCUCGUUCCGUGUUUAAUGUUUAUUUCAAAGAUCCAAUGGUUAUUCCUUCUUCAACAGAACAUGAAGACGAUGGUUUAAAAGUUGUUUACAAGAAGUGGGCUCGACAUCCCUCUGAAAUCAGGGAGGCAUGUGAAGAGUAUGUAGGACAGUGACACGGCUUAAAAGCUAGUAUUCAUGCUUUUAGAACUCAUUUCAUUACGCUUAUGCUUACCAAAGUAGCGUUUCCAUGAUUACUUCAAAGAUCGAAUGAGUUUUCUUAAGGAUAAAUCGUUAUCCAACAUGCCCACGGUCUAUGGGCUCAAAACAAGUUGGAAUGACAAUGGAGGUGUAUGGAUGAAUCAUGAAUGAUAAGUAUUGGAGUCUAGAACAUAGAGUGGUGGUAAUUGGUGAACACAACAAGAGAUAGAUACUAGCAUUCUUCUUGAUGCCUUCAGAUGCUGUGGAAGUGGAAGCCAUUAGAAUUGAGUGAGUCCUGAAAAGUGAAAACCCUCCACGAUACAAAGGAUACAAUAAUGGGGAAAGUUUUAUGUCAGGAGAAACAGAAGCGAUUGUUAAAAACUUGAAAUCCGAUCCAAAACAUCCAAAUCGAUGACUUCAAAGUUGUAUAACUUAAGAGUAUGUACUAUUUUUCUACUUUUUAUUACCAAAGCUAUGAUGUAAGCCCUUAAUGUAAAAUAGUAUGUGAGUUUAUUCGGACGAUUCUUUUUUUUUUUGCAAUAUAAGACUUCGGAUCAAGAUCCAAGUAUCCAAUAAGAUUUGACUUGUGUAUAUCACAUUCUCCACCCUUCCAAGAUUCCGUCUAGAUUCAGAGCUAUUUUCUCGUAAAUUGAUCGUCCUCCUUUUGUAAUGGUUGAAUUUUGUUGCAAAAUAAAUAAAAAAUAGUUAUUUUUUUUUCUAGAAGGGGCAUCUAUAGUCUAUAUAAAACGCUGAUGAACUUUAUGAAUAUACUCCGUCUACAUACAUCUAUUGGCUUAUUUUGGUCCUCUUUCAACAGCUGGCAUGACGGUAAUUCCUAAUUAACCUAAUGUGAUAAGAAGUUAAUUGUCCACAGAAACGUGUCUACAUUCAUCAUACCAAUAAAAGCGUUUUGUUUUCGAUACACACGAAGUUACACGUUGCAUUUACCUAUAAAACAAACCCAACCGCAUGCACCACAAGAAUCAUCAGAUAUCUUCCAAAGCCUUAAAAGAUAAACAUAAGAAUCACCGACAAAAAAACACCAUGGGAGUACUCGACGAAGCUUUUAUCCAAGCUCCAGAACACAGACCCAAAACUCAUCUCACAAACUCCGGUGACUACAUUCUCUCCAACGAGAUCCCGACCAUCGAUCUCUCCUCUCUCCAAGACCCACACUGCGACAAGACAGCGCUAGCGGCAGAGAUUGCAGAAGCAUGCAUGAGAUGGGGCUUUUUCCAGGUGAUCAACCAUGGUUUGUCGUUGGACUUAAUGCGUAGGGUGGAGAAGACGGUGGCCGAGUUUUUCAGUCUAACGUUGGAGGAGAA